This is a long non-coding RNA of Ctenopharyngodon idella (grass carp), 717 nucleotides long. RefSeq lists it as uncharacterized. Lineage: Eukaryota; Metazoa; Chordata; Actinopteri; Cypriniformes; Xenocyprididae. The record is from RefSeq and is a predicted model, not a curated record. The transcript has 6 exons.
CCUCCCCUUUUUCUGUUGUGGUUUCAAGUAUGCGCUGUUAGCACGUAGAGUUUUGUUAACCUUUUAAUUACUGCUCGUGGCACUAAUGACUCGUUUGUUGCACCCCAGCCUGUCUUUUCAUCGGUGUGUGUAUGUGUCUCCGUCGGAUGGUGUAGUGGAUUUGAUUACUGCCCUCCUUUCAGUUUAACAGCGGGUUAUUUGAAGGCUGCGUUUCCUGGCCGGUGAACUGGUUGUAAAACUCAUCUAUCCUCGUUUGGAGCUGGGGUCCUACGGGUGAAGGAUCUUUUGUUGUGGUGGUGCUGCUUCAACGUUUGCCAUGUGACACUUUUGAAGUGUAUCAGUGUGUGAUCUGAGUUCACGGUGGGGCAAAGCAAACCAAAAUCAAGGAGGCAGCCAGAGACCAGAUGUUACAAAAACUGAAGAAUUCCCUUUCUCAGAACAGGGCCCUAGCCACACAAGAUCAACAUACCAGCUCUGAAGAUGAAUUUCCACAAUGUGUUCAUAGUGUAAAGAAAGCAAUGAUUAAGAAGGCUGCAAGACCCCUGGCAUUCACCUCUGAUCAUCAUAUCAGUUCUGAUGAGGGCACAAACAUAGCAAGCCCACUCCUUCCAGAUCAUCACACCAGUUCUGAUGAUGCUACAAACAUAGGGAGUCCUGAAAUGUUUCAGGCCAAUGACUCGGAUGAAGAGUGUGGUUUAACCUCAACUCAGAGAAAGG